This 468-nucleotide ribosomal RNA is filed under the name uncultured bacterium. RNAcentral describes it as "partial 16S ribosomal RNA". It matches the Rfam family "Bacterial small subunit ribosomal RNA", at positions 28 to 507 of the family's 1533-position model. The record is from RNAcentral.
GACGAACGCUGGCGGCGUGGUUAACACAUGCAAGUCGAACGGAAAGUUCCUGCUUUUGUGGGGUGCUCGAGGUGAGAACGGGUGAGUAACACGUGAGUUACCUGUACUUGCCUUUGGGGUAAGUUAAGGCAACUGGGUGUCAUACGGGCUAGGAGUUCUUGCCUUAUGGUGGGGGUGGGUUAGUUUCGUCGGUUGGUGAUGUACUAGCGGAUUAUCAGCUUGUUGGGUGGGUGGUGGCUUACCAAGGCAUUGAAGCGUAGCAGGCCUGAGCGGGUGACCUGACACAGUGGGACUGAGCUACGACCCAGACUCGUACGGGAGGCAGCAGUGGGGAAGAGUGCACGAGGGGCGGAAGCCGAAUGCAGUAACGCCGCGUGCGGGAUGACGGCAUUCGGGUUGUAUACCGCUUUCGCCUGUGACGAAGCGUGAGUGACGGUAAUGGGUAAAGAAGCACCGGCUAACUACGUG